This is a non-coding RNA of Pimephales promelas (fathead minnow), 261 nucleotides long. Lineage: Eukaryota; Metazoa; Chordata; Actinopteri; Cypriniformes; Leuciscidae. The record is from RefSeq and is a predicted model, not a curated record.
CAGUGAAGCCCCUCCCACAACAAUUCACCAAUAAACACUGGGAAUAUUCCCAACAUCCUAUAAGAGAAGGACAAACUCCAGGAGUAGCAGCUGAAAUCUGUGUGACUGUUAAAGAUGGAGUUUAUUAAAGAGGAGAUUGAAGACAUGAGUGAUCCAGAACCAUCCAGAAUAAAACAUGAAGAUACCGAGGAACAAAUAGACCAGGUGAGAGUGAAAGAGCAAAGACAAGAACUGAAUGAAGUGGAGGAGGAACAUCGUAAC